This 620-nucleotide ribosomal RNA is filed under the name Flavobacterium sp. I12B-00760. RNAcentral describes it as "bacterial SSU rRNA". It matches the Rfam family "Bacterial small subunit ribosomal RNA", at positions 91 to 724 of the family's 1533-position model. Lineage: Bacteria; Pseudomonadati; Bacteroidota; Flavobacteriia; Flavobacteriales; Flavobacteriaceae. The record is from RNAcentral.
AUUAGUGGCGAACGGGUGAGUAACACGUGAGUAACCUGCCCCUGACUCUGGGAUAAGCGUUGGAAACGACGUCUAAUACUGGAUAUGACUGCUGGCCGCAUGGUCUGGUGGUGGAAAGAUUUUUUGGUUGGGGAUGGACUCGCGGCCUAUCAGCUUGUUGGUGAGGUAAUGGCUCACCAAGGCGACGACGGGUAGCCGGCCUGAGAGGGUGACCGGCCACACUGGGACUGAGACACGGCCCAGACUCCUACGGGAGGCAGCAGUGGGGAAUAUUGCACAAUGGGCGAAAGCCUGAUGCAGCAACGCCGCGUGAGGGAUGACGGCCUUCGGGUUGUAAACCUCUUUUAGUAGGGAAGAAGCGAAAGUGACGGUACCUGCAGAAAAAGCACCGGCUAACUACGUGCCAGCAGCCGCGGUAAUACGUAGGGUGCAAGCGUUGUCCGGAAUUAUUGGGCGUAAAGAGCUCGUAGGCGGUUUGUCGCGUCUGCUGUGAAAUCCCGAGGCUCAACCUCGGGCUUGCAGUGGGUACGGGCAGACUAGAGUGCGGUAGGGGAGAUUGGAAUUCCUGGUGUAGCGGUGGAAUGCGCAGAUAUCAGGAGGAACACCGAUGGCGAAGGCAG